Molecule: non-coding RNA, 204 nt
Organism: Vicia faba (fava bean)
Lineage: Eukaryota; Viridiplantae; Streptophyta; Magnoliopsida; Fabales; Fabaceae
Source: the annotation of a GenBank genome assembly
AUGGCUUCUUCUUCAUCGAUCUGGCGUCUCUUCGCAGCGCCUCAACUUCAAUCGUUUUCAGAUUCCUACGAUCUUCUACCACCUUCGUUCAUACUGCCUCUCCGUCCACUCACAAUUUCUCAUUUCAGCUGCAUAUCAACUUCGUUCUACCUUAAUUCAUCUUCUAAUCCGUCUUCAACUCAGUGUCAUAGAGUUCAAAUGUGA